RNAcentral lists this ribosomal RNA (805 nucleotides) under uncultured bacterium. RNAcentral's name for it is "bacterial SSU rRNA". It matches the Rfam family "Bacterial small subunit ribosomal RNA", at positions 62 to 862 of the family's 1533-position model. The record is from RNAcentral.
UCGAGGGGCAGCACGAUGUAGCAAUACAUUGGUGGCGACCGGCGCACGGGUGAGUAACGCGUAUGCAACCUACCUAUCAGAGGGGAAUAACCCGGCGAAAGUCGGACUAAUACCGCAUAAAACAGGGGUUCCACAUGGAAAUAUUUGUUAAAGAAUUAUCGCUGAUAGAUGGGCAUGCGUUCCAUUAGAUAGUUGGUGAGGUAACGGCUCACCAAGUCCACGAUGGAUAGGGGUUCUGAGAGGAAGGUCCCCCACACUGGUACUGAGACACGGACCAGACUCCUACGGGAGGCAGCAGUGAGGAAUAUUGGUCAAUGGGCGAGAGCCUGAACCUGCCAAGUCGCGUGAAGGAUGAAGGAUCUAUGGUUUGUAAACUUCUUUUAUAUGGGAAUAAAGUGAGGAACGUGUUCCUUUUUGUAUGUACCAUAUGAAUAAGCAUCGGCUAACUCCGUGCCAGCAGCCGCGGUAAUACGGAGGAUGCGAGCGUUAUCCGGAUUUAUUGGGUUUAAAGGGUGCGUAGGUGGUUAAUUAAGUCAGCGGUGAAAGUUUGUGGCUCAACCAUAAAAUUGCCGUUGAAACUGGUUGACUUGAGUAUAUUUGAGGUAGGCGGAAUGCGUGGUGUAGCGGUGAAAUGCACAGAUAUCACGCAGAACUCCGAUUGCGAAGGCAGCUUACUAAACUAUAACUGACACUGAAGCACGAAAGCGUGGGGAUCAAACAGGAUUAGAUACCCUGGUAGUCCACGCAGUAAACGAUGAUUACUAGCUGUUUGCGAUACACAGUAAGCGGCACAGCGAAAGCGUUA